Molecule: RNA transcript, 2183 nt
Organism: Panicum virgatum (switchgrass)
Lineage: Eukaryota; Viridiplantae; Streptophyta; Magnoliopsida; Poales; Poaceae
Gene name: UMP-CMP kinase 2-like
Exons: 9
Source: RefSeq, a predicted model, not a curated record
CCCUAAUUCCCCAUUUGUCCUUCCACAACCACCAGCCCCCAUCCCCUGGCCGCCGGCGCACGCUGCACGCGCGCAGACAGCAGCCAGGCAAGCCGCCCCCUCUCUCCUCUCUGGCAAGCCGACCCGUCGCAACGCCGGCAAGUCACCUCCUCGCCCUCUUCGGCAAGCCCCUCCCCUUCCCGUUGCCCACUCUCCUGGCAGACAGCAGGGCACCACGUCAUAGGGAAAUAGAUAGACAGAGAAAAGAAGAGAAACGGAACGAGAAAAAGAGGGGAGGAGCCAGAGGAGGAAACGAGGAAGGAGGAGACGGCAGCCACCGAGCGAAAACUGGAAGGGGAAGAGCUCCACUAGCGCGUGCGUUGCGAGGAGAUGUGGCGGAGGCGGCGAGCUCUCCUUCUCCGAUCCCCGCCGUCUUCCUCCUCCACAGCCGCCUCUUCUUGCCAGCAUCGCCGCCGCCACCUCCUCCCCAGCGAGGAACCUCUUGCUGUCAAUCGUCUUGCACGGCUCUUCACGUCCCAAGCUGGAAGUGAUUGUGGCAAUUCCCAGAAGCCGUUCAUUGCUUUCGUCUUAGGGGGUCCUGGUAGUGGCAAAGGAACACAAUGCACCAAAAUUGCUUCGGAUUUCGGAUUUGCCCAUUUGAGCGCUGGUGACCUUCUGCGCCAUGAAAUAGCAUCUGGCAGUGAGAAAGGGGAGUUGAUCCUGGACACCAUUAAGGAAGGGAGGAUCGUCCCAUCAGAGAUAACCGUGGAACUCAUAAGGAAAGCUAUGGAAACGAGCAAUGCCAAUAAGGUUCUUAUUGAUGGCUUCCCAAGGUGUGAGGAAAACAGAAUCGCUUUUGAAAGAAUUGUUGGAAGAGAACCGGACGUUGUGGUUUUCUUUGACUGUCCUGAGGAUGAGAUGGUAAAACGCCUUCUAGGCCGUAACCAGGGGCGGGUUGAUGAUAACAUUGAGACAAUCAAGACGCGUCUAAAAGUGUUUGAGAGUUUGAAUAUUCCUGUUAUUGACUACUAUUCUUCUAGGGGAAAGGUUCGCAAGGUAAGUAAACUGUUUUAUUCUGCACACAGCUAUGCAAACAGGACAACUCUAUAUCUUACAUUGCUCGAACUCCUUUUGUUGCAAAGCUGAAUGAUAAAACUUCUUUGUCUAACUGUAAAAUUUCUAUAUGUAUUCCGGAAUCUAUCUAAUGUCAGUGUAUGUACUCAAAAAGAAUAUGAUUAGAGAAGCAUAAAUGGCGGCAUGUGUUGAAACACAAAAUUAAACAGAUGUGAUGCAUUUCUUCGAUAACUGUUUGCGCUGCUGUAUAACCUCAACUUUCUUUGUUUUGGGGAAAAGUGAAAUCUACUUAUUGGUUAGAUUUUAGAUGAGCAACUGUGUUUUGAUCAUCCCGGGAACAUGGCUUGCAUAUGCUAAGUCGCUAAAUUGCUGCAAGUGGGACAUGAACCAGGGAUAUACAUGAUAAAUGCCACGGGCACUGCAGAUGAAAUUUUUGAUGCAGUCCACAAGCUCUUUUCGUCCUUAAGGUAAGUCCCAGUGCAUGACAUUCGAAAUUUCUCAGAAAGAUUGAUGAUACAGUUAUAGCAAUGGUUAUGCUGUUUUUCUUUUCCUAGAAGGGACCGCAUAUUUGGUAUGUCUAAUUAUAUGCCCUAGAGUAGUGAACCAUGUGUGGCCGUCCUAAAGUUUUAUUUUUUUCUUUAUGUGACUGCUUGCAGAUUAUUAUCUAGUAGCACCAAAUUGUCUGUGUAUCGGUAGUUGUCAUGUAUGAUGAUGAAUUGGUAAUUGGUAGCAAGUUGUUUCAGGGUAACAUCUUUUCAUCACUACUUAAGAGUAAAAAACAAUUUCUCACUUGUAAGGUUGCCAUUGUAGAUAUAGAAAGCUAUCAGCUAAGCUAAUCAUUAUUGCUAGUAAAAUCCUGACUAUUAUGAUUCCGUGCCCUUUGUGUUGAUGGUUGACAACAAAGAAAGGCAUGGCUGACAAGCAAAAUGAAAAGGUACCAUUUUCUUUUGGUGCUGAUGGCAGAAAGAGAGUAGGAUAAGGAUGGAACGGGAUGCAUUUGUCUUUUUGUUGACUCAUUUAAGCUAUGCUUGUAGCCAUUUUGUUGACCCAUUUAGAUGAUAGCGACAGCAUCUGCAGGCCCCAACUUUGUUAGUGUUAUGUAUAAAAGAGUGGUGUAAUCAUUUCACCAU